This 428-nucleotide ribosomal RNA is filed under the name uncultured bacterium. RNAcentral's name for it is "bacterial SSU rRNA". It matches the Rfam family "Bacterial small subunit ribosomal RNA", at positions 355 to 775 of the family's 1533-position model. The record is from RNAcentral.
UAGGGAAUAUUGCGCAAUGGGCGAAAGCCUGACGCAGCGACACCGUGUGUAGGAUGAAGAUCUUCGGAUUGUAAACUACUGUCAGUUGAAGAAGAAGGUAUGAAAGUUAAGAGCUUGAGUAUUGACGGUAUUCAACGAGGAAGUCUCGGCUAACUCCGUGCCAGCAGCCGCGGUAAGACGGAGGAGGCAAGCAUUGUCCGGAAUUAUUGGGCGUAAAGAACACGUAGGCGGUUUUUCAAGUCAAAUGUGAAAACCUUGGGCUUAACUCGAGGAUUGCAUUUGAAACUGGAAAGCUAGAGUACAGUAGAGGAAAGUGGAAUUCCUGGUGUAGCGGUGGAAUGCGCAGAUAUCAGGAAGAACACCAGUGGCGAAAGCGGCUUUCUGGACUGUUACUGACGCUGAGGUGUGAAAGCUAGGGGAGCGAACAG